UCCUAUCGUAGGGGAGGCAGCGGUAAGGAAUAUAGGGCAAGGGGCGGAAGCCUGAACCAGCCAUGCCGCGUGCAGGAAUAUUGCCCUAUGGGUUGUAAACUGCUUGGGUGCAGGAAUAGACCUUUAUACGGUAGAGAGUGACGUACCUGCAGAAUAGAUCC
This 161-nucleotide ribosomal RNA is filed under the name Mucilaginibacter gynuensis. RNAcentral describes it as "partial 16S ribosomal RNA". It matches the Rfam family "Bacterial small subunit ribosomal RNA", at positions 337 to 494 of the family's 1533-position model. The record is from RNAcentral. Lineage: Bacteria; Pseudomonadati; Bacteroidota; Sphingobacteriia; Sphingobacteriales; Sphingobacteriaceae.